Molecule: ribosomal RNA, 442 nt
Filed under: uncultured bacterium
Lineage: Bacteria
Description: partial 16S ribosomal RNA
Rfam family: Bacterial small subunit ribosomal RNA
Source: RNAcentral
CCUACGGGUGGCAGCAGUAGGGAAUCUUUCACAAUGGGCGAAAGCCUGAUGGAGCAACGCCGCGUGCAGGAUGAAGGCCUUCGGGUUGUAAACUGCUUUUAUAAGAGAGAAAUAUGAAGGUAACUUAUGAAUCAGGAUCGGCUAACAACGGGCCAGCAACCGCGGUCAUACGUGGGAUCAGAGCAUUAUCCGGAGUGACUGGGUGUAAAGAGUUGCGUAGGUGGCAUAAUAAGUAGCUAGUGAAAUCGGGUGGCUCAACCAUUCAGACUAUUAGCUAAACUGUUAAGCUCGAGACCGUUAGGGGGAACUGGAAUUUCUAGUGUAGGGGUGAAAUCCGUAGAUAUUAGGAGGAACACCAAUGGCGUAGGCAGGUUGCUGGGACGGUUCUGACACUAAGGCACGAAAGCGUAGGGAGCAAACGGGAUUAGAUACCCCAGUAGUC